RNAcentral lists this transfer RNA (73 nucleotides) under Lacticaseibacillus casei. Its description in RNAcentral is "Lactobacillus casei tRNA-Thr". It matches the Rfam family "tRNA". From Rfam's summary of the family: Transfer RNA (tRNA) molecules are approximately 80 nucleotides in length. Their secondary structure includes four short double-helical elements and three loops (D, anti-codon, and T loops). The record is from RNAcentral. Lineage: Bacteria; Bacillati; Bacillota; Bacilli; Lactobacillales; Lactobacillaceae. RNAcentral also lists the same sequence under 52 other names.
GCCGUCUUAGCUCAGUCGGUAGAGCGCAUCCAUGGUAAGGAUGAGGUCGUCGGUUCGAAUCCGAUAGACGGCU